Molecule: ribosomal RNA, 500 nt
Filed under: uncultured bacterium
Lineage: Bacteria
Description: bacterial SSU rRNA
Rfam family: Bacterial small subunit ribosomal RNA
Source: RNAcentral
AGAGUUUGAUCCUGGCUCAGGAUGAACGCUGGCGGCGUAGCUUAACACGAUGCAAGUCGAACGGGGUUAAGUGAAACCUAGUGAUCUUAACUUAGUGGCGGACGGGUGAGUAACGCGUGGGUAACCUGCCGCAUGCAGGGGGACAACAGAGGGAAACUUCUGCUAAUACCGCAUAAGCGCACGGGAUCGCAUGAUCCAGUGUGAAAAGAUUUGUCGGCAUGCGAUGGACCCGCGUCUGAUUAGGCAGUUGGUGAGGUAACGGCCCACCAAACCUACGAUCAGUAGCCGGCCUGAGAGGGUGAACGGCCACAUUGGGACUGAGACACGGCCCAAACUCCUACGGGAGGCAGCAGUGGGGAAUAUUGCACAAUGGGGGAAACCCUGAUGCCAGCGACGCCGCGUGAGUGAAGAAGCAUUUCGGUGCGUAAAGCUCUGUCAGCAGGAAAGAAAAUGACGGUACCUGACCAAGAAGCCCCGGCUAACUACGUGCCAGCCGCCGC